RNAcentral lists this ribosomal RNA (1491 nucleotides) under Bothriechis aurifer. RNAcentral describes it as "partial 16S ribosomal RNA". It matches the Rfam family "Bacterial large subunit ribosomal RNA", at positions 581 to 2847 of the family's 2925-position model. The record is from RNAcentral. Lineage: Eukaryota; Metazoa; Chordata; Lepidosauria; Squamata; Viperidae.
GCCGACCAAACGACCAACCACAAACAUACUAUACUAAAUAAACAAAUCAUUUGCCCAACCUAGUAGUUGCGAUCGAACAGUCACAAGUCAUAAUGAAGUACCGCAAGGGAACUACUAUAAGCAAUAAACAGCAAAGACUAACCCUUGUACCUUUUGCAUCAUGGUCUAGCAAGAACACAAGGACAAGAAGAAUCACAGCCCACCACCCCGAAACCGAAUGAGCUAUUUUCAAGCAGUCUAACGGACACACCCUUCUAUGUAGCAAAAUAGUGGGAAGACUUAAAAAUAGAGGUGAAACGCCUAUCGAAUCCGGAGAUAGCUGGCUACCCCAAACAGAAUCUAAGUUCUACUUUAGAUCAACACUUAAUCAAUCAACCAUCUAAAGACAGUCAACAGAGGUACAGCUCUGCUGACCCAGGAUACAACCUGAAUUUGCAAGAAACUACAACUCACAUCUAAACCAGUAGGCCCUCAAGCAGCCACCCUAAAAAAUAUCGUCAAAGAAUUGACCUAAACAAACCCAACACUGACCAAAACCUUCAAAUUAACUAAAGGUGGACUUACCCCAGUAAGCAUCAUUAUGCUAAAACUAAUAAUAAGACCCCCCCCCNAUCUCUUAACGCACCCUCCCGCUAGAAACAGAAAAACUACUAGUAACUAACAGACCACAAAAGGAAAACAAUAAACCCAUGCACACCUUCAAAUCAACUGUGAACCCAACACAGGAGCGUUAAAAAGAAAGAUUAACUAUUAUAAAAGGAACUCGGCAACCAAGGACUCCAACUGUUUAACAAAAACAUAACCUUUAGCCAAACAAGUAUUAAAGGCAACGCCUGCCCAGUGAAAAUUAAACGGCCGCGGUACCCUAACCGUGCAAAGGUAGCAUAAUCAUUUGUCUAUUAAUUGUAGACCUGUAUGAAAGGCAAAAUGAGAGCCCAACUGUCUCUUAUAAUAAAUCAAUUAAACUGAUCUUCUAGUACAAAAGCUAGAAUACCAACAUAAGACCAGAAGACCCUGUGAAGCUUUAACUAACCUAUUAAACCCAAUAAUAGUUACUUUCGGUUGGGGCGACCUUGGAAUAAAAAAGAACUUCCAACAAUAUGACUAAUCAUGAAACAAGGCGAACAAGCCAACACUAGACCCAGUACUACUGAUAAUUGAAAUAAGUUACUCCAGGGAUAACAGCGCCAUCUUCUUUAAGAGCCCAUAUCAAAAAGAAGGUUUACGACCUCGAUGUUGGAUCAGGGCAUCCCAGUAAUGCAACCGUUACUAAAGGUUCGUUUGUUCAACGAUUAACAGCCCUACGUGAUCUGAGUUCAGACCGGAGCAAUCCAGGUCAGUUUCUAUCUAUGAACGCCCUACCUAGUACGAAAGGACCGGUACAGCAAAGCCAAUGCAACAUGCACGCUUUAACUACAAAAUAUAUAACCUAUCAAUAAACAAACCACACCUUAAACCAAGAUAAGGUUAAUUAAGGACCACCGCACCUUA